Molecule: ribosomal RNA, 1462 nt
Filed under: metagenome
Description: bacterial SSU rRNA
Rfam family: Bacterial small subunit ribosomal RNA
Source: RNAcentral
AGAGUUUGAUCCUGGCUCAGAACGAACGCUGGCGGCAGGCCUAACACAUGCAAGUCGAACGAAGUCCUCGGACUUAGUGGCGCACGGGUGAGUAACGCGUGGGAACCUACCCUGAGGUGUGGAAUAACUGUUGGAAACGACAGCUAGUACCGUAUAUUCCCCAAGUCCUUGGUGGAUUUGGGGGAAAGAUUUAUCGCCUUGGGAUGGGCCCGCGUUGGAUUAGUUAGUUGGUGAGGUAAUGGCUCACCAAGACAGUGAUCCAUAGCUGGUCUGAGAGGAUGAUCAGCCACACUGGGACUGAGAUAUGGCCCAGACUCCUACGGGAGGCAGCAGUGGGGAAUAUUGGACAAUGGGCGAAAGCCUGAUCCAGCCAUGCCGCGUGAGUGAAGAAGGCCUUAGGGUUGUAAAGCUCUUUCAACGGUGAAGAUGAUGAUGGUAGCCGUAGAAGAAGCCCCGGCUAACUCCGUGCCAGUAGUUGUGGUAAUACGGAGGGGGCGAGCGUUGUUCGGAAUUACUGGGCGUAAAGGGCGCGUAGGCGGUCAGUUGCGUUAGAUGUGAAAGUCCCGGGUUUAAUCUGGGAUGUGCAUUUAAUACGGGCUGACUAGAAUGCGGCAGAGGAUGGUGGAAUUCCCAGUGUAGAGGUGAAAUUUGUAGAUAUUGGGAAGAACACCGAUGGCGAAGGUAGCCAUCUGGGCCGUUAUUGACGCUGAGGCGCGAAAGCGUGGGGAGCGAACAGGAUUAGAUAUCCUGGUAGUCCACGCCGUAAACGAUGUGUGCUUGCCGUCGGACAGCUUGCUGUUCGGUGGCGUAAGCUAAUGUCUUAAGCACACCGCCUGGGGAGUACGGUCGCAAGAUUAAAACUCAAAGGAAUUGACGGGGGCCCGCACAAGCGGUGGAGCAUGUGGUUUAAUUUGAAGCAAUGUGCAGAACCUUACCAGCCCUUGACAUGGGACGUUCGGUAUUUGGAGACAGAUACCUUCAGUUCGGCUGGCGUCCACACAGGUGCUGCAUGGCUGUCGUCAGCUCGUGUUGUGAGAUGUUGGGUUAAGUCCCGCAACGAGCGCAACCCCUACCUUUAGUUGCCAGCGGUUUCGGCCGGGCACUCUAGAGGGACUGCCGGUGAUAAGCCGGAGGAAGGCGGGGAUGACGUCAAGUCCUCAUGGCCCUUAUGGGCUGGGCUACACACGUGCUACAAUGGCGGUGACAGUGGGCAGCGAAGGGGUGACCUGGAGCUAAUCCCCAAAAACCGUCUCAGUUCGGAUUGCACUCUGCAAUUUGAGUGCAUGAAGUUGGAAUCGCUAGUAAUCGUGGAUUAGUAUGCCACGGUGAAUACGUUCCCGGGCCUUGUACACACCGCCCGUCACACCAUGGGAGUUGGUUCUACCCGAAGUUGGUGCGCUAACCGCAAGGAGGCAGCCAACCACGGUAGGGUCAGCGACUGGGGUGAAGUCGAAAUAAGGUA